AGGAUUAACGCUGGCGGCGUGCCUAACACAUGCAAGUCGAACGAGGUAGCAAUACCUAGUGGCAGACGGGUGAGUAACGCGUGGUCAACCUACCGUUGAGUGGGGGAUAACUAGCCGAAAGGUUAGCUAAUACCGCAUACGUCUCCGAGGGGCAUCCCUUGGCGAUAAAAGGAGCAAUCCGCUCGAUGACGGGACCGCGUCCCAUUAGCUAGAUGGUGGGGUAACGGCCUACCAUGGCACCGAUGGGUAGCUGGUUUGAGAGAGCGACCAGCCACACUGGGACUGAGAAACGGCCCAGACUCCUACGGGAGGCAGCAGUGAGGAAUUUUCCGCAAUGGGCGCAAGCCUGACGGAGCGACGCCGCGUGUGGGAAGAAGGCCUUCGGGGUCGUAAACCACGUGUCGAAGGGGACGAUAAUGACGGUACCCUUGGAGGAAGCCCGGCUAACUACGUGCCAGCAGCCGC
RNAcentral lists this ribosomal RNA (465 nucleotides) under uncultured bacterium. RNAcentral's name for it is "SSU rRNA". It matches the Rfam family "Bacterial small subunit ribosomal RNA", at positions 26 to 518 of the family's 1533-position model. The record is from RNAcentral.